This 253-nucleotide ribosomal RNA is filed under the name uncultured bacterium. RNAcentral's name for it is "partial 16S ribosomal RNA". It matches the Rfam family "Bacterial small subunit ribosomal RNA", at positions 524 to 776 of the family's 1533-position model. The record is from RNAcentral.
UACGAAGGGGGCUAGCGUUGCUCGGAAUGACUGGGCGUAAAGGGCGCGUAGGCGGAUUGUACAGUCAGGCGUGAAAUUCCCGGGCUCAACCUGGGGGCUGCGCUUGAGACGUGCGAUCUUGAGUGGGGAAGAGGGUCGUGGAAUUCCCAGUGUAGAGGUGAAAUUCGUAGAUAUUGGGAAGAACACCCGUGGCUAAGGCGGCUCUCUAGUACGGUACUGACGCUGAGACGCGAAAGCGUGGGGAGCGAACAGG